Molecule: ribosomal RNA, 578 nt
Filed under: uncultured bacterium
Lineage: Bacteria
Description: bacterial SSU rRNA
Rfam family: Bacterial small subunit ribosomal RNA
Source: RNAcentral
ACGGGGGAGUAACACGUGGAUAACCUACCUAUAGGACUGGGAUAACUUCGGGAAACCGGAGCUAAUACCAUAUAACAUGUUGAACCGCAUGGUUCAACAGUGAAAGACGGUCUUGCUGUCACUUAUAGAUGGAUCCCCGCCGCAGUACCUAGUUGGUAAGGUAACGGCUUACCAAGGCAACGAUGCGUAGCCUACCUGAGAGGGUGAUCGGCCACACUGGAACUGAGACACGGUCCAGACUCCUACGGGAGGCAGCAGUAGGGAAUCUUCCGCAAUGGGCGAAAGCCUGACGGAACAACGCCGCGUGAGUGAUGAACGUCUUCGGAUCGUAAAACUCUGUUAUUAAGGAAGAACAAAUGUGUAAGUAACUAUGCACGUCUUGACGGCACCUAAUCAGAAAGCCACGGCUAACUACCUGCCAACAGCCGCGGUAAUACGUAGGUGGCAAGCGUUAUCCGGAAUUAUUGGGCGUAAAGCGCGCGUAGGCGGUUUUUUAAGUCUGAUGUGAAAGCCCACGGCUCAACCGUGGAGGGUCAUUGGAAACUGGAAAACUUGAGUGCAGAAGAGGAAAGUGGAAU